GUGGCAUCAUCAAGAUUCACACA
This 23-nucleotide microRNA is filed under the name Aegilops tauschii. Its description in RNAcentral is "ata-miR172c-5p". Its record names the gene ata-miR172c-5p. Lineage: Eukaryota; Viridiplantae; Streptophyta; Magnoliopsida; Poales; Poaceae. The record is from miRBase by way of RNAcentral.